GACGAACGCUGGCGGCGUGCCUAACACAUGCAAGUCGAGCGGGGAUGUGGAGGAGCUUGCUCCGAAACAUUCUAGCGGCGGACGGGUGAGUAACGCGUGAGCAACCUGCCUCAAGCAGGGGGAUAACGCAUCGAAAGAUGUGCUAAUACCGCGUAAGACCACAGCAUCACAUGGUGCAGGGGUCAAAGGAGCAAUCCGGUUUGAGAUGGGCUCGCGUCCGAUUAGCUAGUUGGUGAGACAACAGCCCACCAAGGCGACGAUCGGUAGCCGACCUGAGAGGGUGAUCGGGCCACAUUGGAACUGAGAUACGGGUCCAGACUCCUACGGGAGGCAGCAGCGGGGAAUAGUUGGGACAAUGGGCGAAAGCCUGACCCAGCAACGCCGCGUGAGGGAAGAA
RNAcentral lists this ribosomal RNA (397 nucleotides) under uncultured bacterium. RNAcentral's name for it is "bacterial SSU rRNA". It matches the Rfam family "Bacterial small subunit ribosomal RNA", at positions 28 to 412 of the family's 1533-position model. The record is from RNAcentral.